This 178-nucleotide long non-coding RNA is filed under the name Anas platyrhynchos platyrhynchos (common mallard). Its description in RNAcentral is "lncRNA (ENSAPLG00000018124.1)". Lineage: Eukaryota; Metazoa; Chordata; Aves; Anseriformes; Anatidae. The record is from RNAcentral.
UGCUCAGCUCAGCUUACGUGGUACUGAAAUUUGAGUAAUGAAUGAUGAUUCGGGCAUCCUGCUUCGUGUACGGCCUUGCCCUGUCCUCCAUGCAAUGACCAGGAUGAAAGAGAGCUCUGGAAUGGGUGUCUGUAGUUCUCCAGGAGAUAAGGCAAAGCAGAGCAGAACAGUGGCUUGA